RNAcentral lists this ribosomal RNA (836 nucleotides) under Uthina sp. Ind119. RNAcentral describes it as "partial 28S ribosomal RNA". It matches the Rfam family "Eukaryotic large subunit ribosomal RNA", at positions 354 to 915 of the family's 3401-position model. The record is from RNAcentral. Lineage: Eukaryota; Metazoa; Arthropoda; Arachnida; Araneae; Pholcidae.
UGAGGGAAAGUUGCAAAGAACUUUGAAGAGAGAGUUCAAGAGUACGUGAAACUGCUCGGAAGGAAACAGGUGGAUCUUCGAAGUCCGAGCGGAGCGGGAUUCAGUGGCGGGCGGCGAGGGGUGUCCGAAGCCUUCCAGUACCCCGCUCGCGGGGACGGGCGACGGGCACCGUUCUCCCGUCAGCCGCGCACUUCUCGCUCCCGGCGGACGCCGCAGCCGGUCUGGCGUCGGCAGUGAGGACUGGCCGGGCGAUGGCGUGGGCGCCGAUCCAGCAUCGGCGUCCCGAUUCUGUACCGGCCGUGUUUUCCCGGUGCGACGCCGGUCCGAGGGAAGAGGGUCCGGACUUCAAGUUCCGGACGCGCCGCGGUCUCGCCACGAGAGUGGCAGAGCGGGAGAGUGGUCCGGUCCUACCGGCCGAGUCGCCCACCACGAGCCGUGGGCGACCGGAAAAAGGUGAGCCGCCAGAUCGCGACCUGGCCCGCAACGGCGAGCCGAGGGCUUGCGGCGAGUAGGUCGGUAUUCCACCUGACCCGUCUUGAAACACGGACCAAGGAGUAUAACUUGUGCGCGAGUCAGUGGGACUCGACCAAGCCCACGGGCGCAAUGAGAGUGAAUCGAAUAUCUAUUCGUGCGUCGCGAUCCGGCGCCCCCCGCGGCGCCGGCGCAGCGACGGCCCGACUGAAAAGUAGUUCAGCGAUGCUGGCGCCGGUCGGAGCCCGAGCGUACAGGUUGUUGCCCGAAAGAUGGUGAACUAUGCCCGGGCAGGUUGAAGCUAGAGGAAACUCUGGUGGAGGACCGCAGCGGUUCUGACGUGCAAAUCGAUCGUCGAACCUGGG